This 361-nucleotide long non-coding RNA is filed under the name Zea mays. RNAcentral's name for it is "long non-coding RNA (ZMAY_LNC000073)". Lineage: Eukaryota; Viridiplantae; Streptophyta; Magnoliopsida; Poales; Poaceae. The record is from RNAcentral.
AUCAUCGGCGCCUUCCUCUCCGACGCCUACCUCGGCCGCUACCUCGCGCUCGCCAUCGCCUCCGUCGCCUCCCUCAUCGUAAGCGCAGCGAUCCAUCUCCAGUCCACCCCUCUCGCUCGUUACCUGCUUAAUUUGAGGGACACCGGGGUCGGGUCCGAGCUAGCUAGGCCGCCGGCGGCGGGUCGGAAUCAGUUCGGGGGUAGAUGGAAUGGAAUUCGGCAUGCUGUUGCUGCAGGGUGUUUGACGGGUUCCUUCGCGUACCGGAUCACCAGAUUCAGUUUUGGCGAUGUCUCUGUCUCCCGGCUUGUCACGAGUUGGACCUCACUCUCGAGGGGCCGAGCUGUUCUUCGUUCCUUUUUUU